GUGCAGCUGACGAGUCCUAAAUAGGACGAAACACAUGUCCUGGAU
RNAcentral lists this non-coding RNA (45 nucleotides) under Schistosoma mansoni. The record is from RNAcentral. Lineage: Eukaryota; Metazoa; Platyhelminthes; Trematoda; Strigeidida; Schistosomatidae.